Dreissena polymorpha is the source of this 1315-nucleotide long non-coding RNA. RefSeq lists it as uncharacterized. The record is from RefSeq and is a predicted model, not a curated record. Lineage: Eukaryota; Metazoa; Mollusca; Bivalvia; Myida; Dreissenidae. The transcript is spliced from 2 exons.
CUCGAAAAUGUUAAAGUUCUUAUUUCAUGGUAUAACUUUGGUAUGCUUGGACCUAGAGUCUUCAAACUUGACAUGAAGGUUGGCCAGGAUUAACAGAUGACCACUGGUCAUUUCAAGGUCAUUCAUUUGAAGGUCAAGGUCACUGUGACCUUCAAUAUAAAAAAUGUUAAAGUUCUUAUAACUUUGGUAUGCUUGGACCUAGAGUCUUGAAACUUGACAUGAAGGUUGGCCAUAACUAGUUAGUAACCACUGGUCAUUUCAAGGUCAUUCAUUUGAAGGUCAAGGUCACUGUGACCUUGAAUGUAAAAAUGUUAAAGUUCUUAUUUCAUGGUAUAACUUUGGUAUGCUUGGACCUAGAGUCUUCAAACUUGACAUGAAGGUUGGCCAGGAUUAACAGAUGACCACUGGUCAUUUCAAGGUCAUUCAUUUGAAGGUCAAGGUCACUGUGACCUUCAAUAUAAAAAAUGUUAAAGUUCUUAUAACUUUGGUAUGCUUGGACCUAGAGUCUUGAAACUUGACAUGAAGGUUGGCCAUAACUAGUUAGUAACCACUGGUCAUUUCAAGGUCAUUCAUUUGAAGGUCAAGGUCACUGUGACCUUGAAUGUAAAAAUGUUAAAGUUCUUAUUUCAUGGUAUAACUUUGGUAUGCUUGGACCUAGAGUCUUCAAACUUGACAUGAAGGUUGGCCAGGAUUAACAGAUGACCACUGGUCAUUUCAAGGUCAUUCAUUUGAAGGUGAAGGUCACUGUGACCUUCAAUAUAAAAAUGUUAAAGUUGUUAUAACUUUGGUAUGCUUGGACCUAGAGUCUUGAAACUUGACAUGAAGGUUGGCCAGAACUAGUAAGUAACCACUGGACAUUUCAAGGUCAUUCAUUUGAAGGUCAAGGUCACUGUGACCUUGAAUGUAAAAAUGUUAAAGUUGUUAUAACUUUGGUAUGCUUGGACCUAGAGUCUUGAAACUUGACAUGAAGGUUGGCCAGAACUAGUAAGUAACCACUGGACAUUUCAAGGUCAUUCAUUUGAAGGUCAAGGUCACUGUGACCUUGAAUGUAAAAAUGUUAAAGUUCUUAUUCCAUGUUAUAACUUUGAUAUGCUUGUACCUAGAGUCUUCAAACUUGACAUAAAGGUUGGCCAGUACUAGAAGAUCACCACUGCUCAUUUCAAUGUCAUUCAUUUGAUUUCUGUGUAGGUAUGUGAAAGCAAAACAAUAAAUAGUAUUAUUUCAUCUAAGUUUAUUUUCUUACAUUUGAUAAUGAAAUUGAUGGAAACUUCAAACAAUAUCUUACUAAUUUGCUAAUAAAAAAAUUGAGAUCAAA